Molecule: ribosomal RNA, 504 nt
Filed under: uncultured bacterium
Lineage: Bacteria
Description: partial 16S ribosomal RNA
Rfam family: Bacterial small subunit ribosomal RNA
Source: RNAcentral
AUUGAACGCUGGCGGCAUGCCUUACACAUGCAAGUCGAACGGCAGCAUGGAGAGCUUGCUCUCUGAUGGCGAGUGGCGAACGGGUGAGUAAAGCAUCGGAACGUACCGUGUAGUGGGGGAUAACGUAGCGAAAGUUACGCUAAUACCGCAUACGCACUGAGGUGGAAAGCAGGGGAUCGCGAGACCUUGCGCUAUACGAGCGGCCGAUGUCAGAUUAGCUAGUUGGUAGGGUAAAGGCCUACCAAGGCGACGAUCUGUAGCGGGUCUGAGAGGAUGAUCCGCCGCACGGGGAGUGAGACACGGCCCAGACUCCUACGGGAGGCAGCAGUGGGGAAUUGUGGACGAUGGGGGGAACCCUGAUCCAGCCAUGCCGCGUGAGUGAAGAAGGCCUUCGGGUUGUAAAGCACUUUCGGCCGGGAAGAAAUCGCACAAGCUAAUACUCUGUGUGGAUGACGGUACCGGCAUAAGAAGCACCGGCUAACUACGUGCCAGCCGCCGCAGUAA